AGAGUUUGAUCCUGGCUCAGGAUGAACGCUAGCUACAGGCUUAACACAUGCAAGUCGAGGGGCAGCAGGACGGUAGCUUGCUACUGUCGCUGGCGACCGGCGCACGGGUGAGUAACGCGUAUCCAACCUUCCCCUGAGUAGGGAAUAGCCCGGCGAAAGUCGGAUUAAUGCCCUAUGUUGUCCGACGAUAGCAUUUGAAUCGGAUGAAAGAUUUAUCGCUCAGGGAUGGGGAUGCGUCUGAUUAGGUUGCAGGCGGGGUAACGGCCCACCUGGCCGACGAUCAGUAGGGGUUCUGAGAGGAAGGUCCCCCACAUUGGAACUGAGACACGGUCCAAACUCCUACGGGAGGCAGCAGUGAGGAAUAUUGGUCAAUGGGCGAGAGCCUGAACCAGCCAAGUAGCGUGCAGGAAGACGGCCCUAUGGGUUGUAAACUGCUUUUGGAGGGGAAUAAAGUGGCGUACGUGUACGCCUUUGUAUGUACCCUCAGAAUAAGGACCGGCUAAUUCCGUGCCAGCAGCCGCGGUAAUACGGAAGGUCCGGGCGUUAUCCGGAUUUAUUGGGUUUAAAGGGAGCGCAGGCCGCCGAUUAAGCGUGACGUGAAAUGUCCCGGCUCAACCGGGGAGUUGCGUCGCGAACUGGUUGGCUUGAGUGCGGACGAGGUAUGCGGAAUUCGUGGUGUAGCGGUGAAAUGCUUAGAUAUCACGAAGAACCCCGAUUGCGAAGGCAGCGUACCAGGCCGUAACUGACGCUAAUGCUCGAAGGUGCGGGUAUCGAACAGGAUUAGAUACCCUGGUAGUCCGCACGGUAAACGAUGAAUGCCCGCUGU
RNAcentral lists this ribosomal RNA (826 nucleotides) under uncultured bacterium. RNAcentral describes it as "bacterial SSU rRNA". It matches the Rfam family "Bacterial small subunit ribosomal RNA", at positions 8 to 823 of the family's 1533-position model. The record is from RNAcentral.